AUACUUCUGUAGUGGGGAGACGUCAUGACCAUGGAGUAAGGCUCUUUUUCCCAGGUGAGGCUCAUCUAUUGCACUCUGGAUAUGGAGAUCCCUGUGAGUUCUGCAUAUGUGGGGGAAAUUCUACUGCAUAAUUACUGGUAGUGGAGAAGUGCAUUCCUGCUUUCUUUC
Molecule: small nuclear RNA, 168 nt
Organism: Peromyscus maniculatus bairdii (prairie deer mouse)
Lineage: Eukaryota; Metazoa; Chordata; Mammalia; Rodentia; Cricetidae
Gene: U1
Rfam family: U1 spliceosomal RNA
About the family: U1 is a small nuclear RNA (snRNA) component of the spliceosome (involved in pre-mRNA splicing). Its 5' end forms complementary base pairs with the 5' splice junction, thus defining the 5' donor site of an intron.
Source: Ensembl